CUGAAGUUGAAAUUUGCUAUUUAGCCUGAAAAUUUUGGAUCUUUUGGACUUAGUGGCGUUCCAUAGGGUUCUGCAUUUCGUGGUGGAUAAGGGAGUUUUAUUGGGUAUUUGGGUAUUUUGUGAAUAAGACCAUCGCCAUGGAUGGUCUUGGGGAAUCUUCUCAAUCUGGGUCUGGAGUUGUUAGUUCUCAAUCUUUGGAAAG
Molecule: unclassified non-coding RNA, 202 nt
Filed under: Hevea brasiliensis (rubber tree)
Lineage: Eukaryota; Viridiplantae; Streptophyta; Magnoliopsida; Malpighiales; Euphorbiaceae
Source: RNAcentral